RNAcentral lists this ribosomal RNA (438 nucleotides) under uncultured bacterium. RNAcentral describes it as "bacterial SSU rRNA". It matches the Rfam family "Bacterial small subunit ribosomal RNA", at positions 338 to 776 of the family's 1533-position model. The record is from RNAcentral.
CCUACGGGGGGCAGCAGUGGGGAAUAUUGCACAAUGGGGGAAACCCUGAUGCAGCGACGCCGCGUGAGUGAAGAAGUAUUUCGGUACGUAAAGCUCUAUCAGCAGGGAAGAAAAAAAGUCCUUUGGACUUUGGACGGUACCUGACCAAGAAGCCCCGGCUAACUACGUGCCAGCAGCCGCGGUAAUACGUAGGGGGCAAGCGUUAUCCGGAUUUACUGGGUGUAAAGGGAGCGUAGACGGCAGCGCAAGUCUGGAGUGAAAUGCCGGGGCCCAACCCCGGAACUGCUUUGGAAACUGUGCAGCUCGAGUGCAGGAGAGGUAAGCGGAAUUCCUAGUGUAGCGGUGAAAUGCGUAGAUAUUAGGAGGAACACCAGUGGCGAAGGCGGCUUACUGGACUGUAACUGACGUUGAGGCUCGAAAGCGUGGGGAGCAAACAGG